Molecule: long non-coding RNA, 343 nt
Filed under: Rhinopithecus bieti (black snub-nosed monkey)
Lineage: Eukaryota; Metazoa; Chordata; Mammalia; Primates; Cercopithecidae
Description: lncRNA (ENSRBIG00000045198.1)
Source: RNAcentral
CGUGCGUAUGUGAGCGUGCCUGCGUGAGCGUGCAUAUGUGAGCGUGCGUACGUGAGCGUGCGUACGUGCGUGAACGUCUAUUGAUUGUUAAGUCUUUCAAGCAUGAAUUAACACUUUAUGGUUAUUAUGCCAGCCCGGAAUAUUCAGUCUAAGCUCAGCUUCUACAAUUGAUUUGGCAGGAAUGAAAUCCGCGUUUGUCUACAGCAGAUUCGGCAGGGACCAGGCCUUCCGUGACCGCAACUUGUUGGAGAGAAGAUUGAGAUCUAUGAUAUACUGCAAUUCUUGGAAAAUACUCAAUGCAUUCUCAGAAAUUCUAUUCACACAGUAAAAAGAUAGAGACAAU